UGGUGGAGUGAUUUGUCUGGUUAAUUCCGUUAACGAACGAGACCUCGACCUGCUAAAUAGUUUGGCGAAUUCCCUGUGGAUUCUCACAUAACUUCUUAGAGGGACUAUCGGUUCGCAGCCGGUGGAAGUUCGAGGCAAUAACA
This 143-nucleotide ribosomal RNA is filed under the name uncultured eukaryote. Its description in RNAcentral is "partial 18S ribosomal RNA". It matches the Rfam family "Eukaryotic small subunit ribosomal RNA", at positions 1299 to 1458 of the family's 1831-position model. The record is from RNAcentral.